Molecule: ribosomal RNA, 483 nt
Filed under: Nematoda environmental sample
Lineage: Eukaryota; Metazoa; Nematoda
Description: partial large subunit ribosomal RNA
Rfam family: Eukaryotic large subunit ribosomal RNA
Source: RNAcentral
CCAAGGAGUCUAACAUGUACGCAAGUCGUAGGGUGGAAAACCCGAAGGCGCAAUGAAAGUAAAGCUUUUGCGACACAGGAUCCGGUUUCGGCCGGCGCACUGUGCGCCCCCGUUCCGGCUGCAUGUCAGCGGAGCGGCGGUAGAGCGUACACGUUAGGACCCGAAAGAUGGUGAACUAUGCCUGAGCAGGGCGAAGCCAGAGGAAACUCUGGUGGAGGCUCGAAACGGUUCUGACGUGCAAAUCGAUCGUCAGACUUGGGUAUAGGGGCGAAAGACUAAUCGAACCAUCUAGUAGCUGGUUCCCUCCGAAGUUUCCCCCAGGAUAGCUGGCGUUCAAUGUGCAGUCUUAUCCGGUAAAGCGAAUGAUUAGAGGCCUUGGGGACGAAAUGUUCUCAACCUAUUCUCAAACUUUAAAUGGGUAAGAAGUUCGACUUUCUUAAUUGAAGUCGGACACUGGAUGUGAAUGCCAAGUGGGCCAUUUUU